UACGUAGGGGGCAAGCGUUAUCCGGAUUUACUGGGUGCAAAGGGAGCGUAGACGGCGGUGCAAGCCAGAUGUGAAAGCCCGGGGCUCAACCCCGGGACUGCAUUUGGAACUGUGCUGCUAGAGUGUCGGAGAGGCAGGCGGAAUUCCUAGUGUAGCGGUGAAAUGCGUAGAUAUUAGGAGGAACACCAGUGGCGAAGGCGGCCUGCUGGACGAUGACUGACGUUGAGGCUCGAAAGCGUGGGGAGCAAACAGG
This 253-nucleotide ribosomal RNA is filed under the name uncultured bacterium. RNAcentral describes it as "partial 16S ribosomal RNA". It matches the Rfam family "Bacterial small subunit ribosomal RNA", at positions 524 to 776 of the family's 1533-position model. The record is from RNAcentral.